AGCAGCCGCGGUAAUUCCAGCUCCAAUAGCGUAUAUUAAAGUUGUUGUGGUUAAAAAGCUCGUAGUUGGAUCUCAACAGCCUUGAAGCGGUUAACGUUGUAGUUUUACUGCUUUAUAGGCUGUGCUUUUGCUGGAGGUUUAGGGGUGCUCUUGAUCGAGUGUCUCUGGAUGCCAGCAGGUUUACUUUGAAAAAAUUAGAGUGCUCAAAGCAGGCUAAAAUGCCUGAAUAUUCGUGCAUGGAAUAAUAGAAUAGGAUGUCGAUCCUAUUUUGUUGGUUUUCGGGACUCGACAUAAUGAUAAAUAGGGACAGUCGGGGGCAUUUGUAUUCAAACGACAGAGGUGAAAUUCUUGGACCGUUUGAAGACAAACUACUGCGAAAGCAUUUGCCAAGAAUGUUUUCAUUAAUCAAGAACGAAAGUUAGAGGUUCGAAGGCGAUUAGAUACCGCCCUAGUUCUAACCAUAAACGAUGCCAGCUAGCGAUCUGCCUGCGUUUUUACUGUAGACUGGGCAGGAAGCUUCCGGGAAACCAAAGCAUUUGGGUUCCAGGGGAAGUAUGGUUGCAAAGCUGAAACUUAAAGGAAUUGACGGAAGGGCACCACCAGGAGUGGAGCCUGUGGCUUAAUUUGACUCAACACGGGAAAUCUCACCAGGCCCGGACACUGGAAGGAUUGACAGAUUGAUAGCUCUUUCUUGAUUCGGUGGGUGGUGGUGCAUGGCCGUUCUUAGUUGGUGGAGUGAUUUGUCUGGUUAAUUCCGAUAACGAACGAGACUCUGUCCUGCUAAAUAGUUUCUACUUCUCUUUUGAGUAGAAAUUUCUUCUUAGAGGGACUGGUGACUCUUAGUCACACGAGAUUGAGCAAUAACAGGUCUGUGAUGC
Molecule: ribosomal RNA, 878 nt
Filed under: uncultured eukaryote
Lineage: Eukaryota
Description: SSU rRNA
Rfam family: Eukaryotic small subunit ribosomal RNA
Source: RNAcentral